GUCACAAACAAGAGGGGCAUAUCGAGAUUUAAACAUGCCAUUGAAAGUUCAAUGAAUCUCAAAGGAUCUAGGAGUUUUCAUAGAUUUAAAACUUAAAUUUCUUUUUCGUUUUUCAUGGUGGAAAUUAGUGAAUUGUCAUUCACUUACCUUCAAAUGUUCUACAAUUUGGGUUACGGCAUCCCUCUCCCGAGUUGUAGAAUAUUAUGUUGGGUCCUGGCCUUAGUAUCUCAUUUGGGUGAUUUACUAAGGACUCAAUCAAUCAACUAACUUGAAUUCGUAUGUAAUUUAUGUUGUGCAUGUCUAUAGAGCUGGAACCGGAAGGUUCACAGAGUUAGAACCAAAGGGUUCACAGAGUAGGUUCCACGGACCCACAGAGUUAUAGCCUUGAGUGGCUAAAAUGUGUUAUGUGUGGUUUUUUGGGGAACUCACUAAGCUUUGUUCUUACAGUGUUGGUGUUAUUUGUUUCAGGUACUAGUGAUGACCGUGGGAAGACGCCGUCUUGAUCAGUACACACACACGGGAUUUUAUGUUAUCAGAUCUUGGGAAUUUUUAUAUAUUAUGGAUUGAGUUUCAAACACUAAUGUUUUUAUGAAUGUUAAAUGAUUUCUGUUUUAUAAAAUGCGAAAAAUUGUUUUGAAAUUUAUGUUGUUACAAGUUGGUAUCAGAGCCUUUGUUUGAGGGAUUCGAGUACACCUUCGGGCGUAUUUGAACUCAAACUGAGGAUUUGAGAGGUAUUUUCAAAAAGAGUAAAAGAUUUUUGGAAAAACGCAGAGCAGAGUUGUGUGUACGAUCGGUCCGCGCCCGAACGGUGAUUUCACACCCGCUUUGUGAUCCUCGGCAUCCCAGUUCACCAACAAGAGGGGCAUAUCGAGAUUUAAACAUGCCAUUGAAAGUUCAAUGAAUCUCAAAGGAUCUAGGAGUUUUCAUAGAUUUAAAACUUAAAUUUCUUUUUCGUUUUUCAUGGUGGAAAUUAGUGAAUUGUCAUUCACUUACCUUCAAAUGUUCUACAAUUUGGGUUACGGCAUCCCUCUCCCGAGUUGUAGAAUAUUGUGUUGGGUCCUGGCCUUAGUAUCUCAUUUGGGUGAUUUACUAAGGACUCAAUCAAUCAACUAACUUGAAUUCGUUUUCUCCCGUUUUGUAGAUGUCAAAGUUCGACAACUAUGGUCUUCCCAAAUCCCGUGGAACAAGCUUUCCACAUGAAGAUG
RNAcentral lists this long non-coding RNA (1205 nucleotides) under Lactuca sativa (garden lettuce). RNAcentral's name for it is "long non-coding RNA (LSAT_LNC002792)". The record is from RNAcentral. Lineage: Eukaryota; Viridiplantae; Streptophyta; Magnoliopsida; Asterales; Asteraceae.